GAGAGGGUUUGUGACUUCGGGAAACACUAAAUGGAAACACGCUUCCGAAGAUUGUUGACAUAAACGAUUCUGCCUUCCCCAGUCUUCGUCGAGUCUUGGCAGUUUUUGUUAUAAGCAAACAUGACAUUGACAAUCGUUUGUUAAACUUGACAAACAGUGAGACAGAAUCCAAAACCAACUAUGGCCACUUCAAAACCCAUAUCUCCAUUCAGACUCUCCUCCCUCCUCCGAUCUCAAAAAGACCCAUCCCUUGCAUUCCAACUCUUUCUCAACCCCAACCCCACCCUUCAAAAUCGCCCAUUCCGUUAUUCCCUCCUUUCCUAUGACCUCAUUAUCACCAAACUCGGUCGUGCCAAAAUGCUCCCACAAAUGGAACAAAUUCUCCAACACCUCCACAAUGAUACUCGCCACCGCGUCCCCGAACCACUCCUCUGCCACGUCAUCGACUUCUACGCACGUGCCCGCCUCCCAUCACGUGCCAUCCAAACCUUCCUCUCCAUCCCUUCCUUCCGCUGCACGCCAACUCUUAAAUCAUUCAAUUCCCUACUCAACGCCCUCCUAACCUGCCGCCAAUUCCAAACAAUCACCCGAGUGGCUUCCCUUUUAAAUGAAUUCGGUCCGCCAAACCCCUGCACCUACAACAUCCUCAUCCGAUCCUGUUUCCUCCAAGGCCAUGCCGAUCGCGCCUUGAAACUGUUCGAUGAAAUGUGUAGCUGUGGCGUCCUCCCUGAUGCGGUCACAUUCGGGACCUUAAUCCAUGGGCUGUGUAAGAAUUCAAUGAUGCAUAAGGCUUUUGAAAUGAAAAAAUUGAUGAUUGAGGAUUUUAAGUUGAAGCCAUGUGUUUCUGUUUACACUAACUUGAUUAAAGGUGUUUGCGAGAUUGGGGAACUUGAUUGGGCAUUUACGAUCAAGGAUGAGAUGGAUAGGAACAAAUUGAGAUCAGAUGCUGUUGUUUAUAACACUCUGAUUAACGCGCUUUUUAAGGCAGGGAGAAAGGAAGAGUCUUUAAGGGUUUUGGAGGAAAUGAAGGAGAGUGGCUGCAAUUGGAAUUCGGUUACUUGUAAUGUAAUGAUUGGGGAGUUUUGUAGAGAAAAGAAUUUCAAAGAAGCUUAUAGGAUUUUGGAUGGUGUGGAAGGUGUGAAGCCUGAUGUUUUUGGUUACAAUGUGGUGAUUGGUUGUCUGUGUAGAGAAGGGAAAUGGAAUGAAGCAAAUGAUCUGUUUCAGGAUAUGUUGCGGCGAAAGUGUGUUCCCGAUGUUGUCACGUAUCGCACACUGUUUGAUGGGAUUUGUCGGUGGAUGCAGUUCCAGGAAGCUGCAUUUGUUUUAGAUGAGAUGUUGUUUAAAGGAUAUGUUCCCCAUUCUAGGAGUUUGAAUGAAUUUGUCGGUGGUUUGUGCAGGGAAGGGAACUUUGAGCUGUUGUCAACAGUUUUGAGUGGUUUGGUUAGUAGAGGAGAUUUUUGCAAUGGCAGUUUAUGGAAUGUUUUGGUUCCCAUGGUUUGCGAGCCGGAGAAGUUGGCAGCAAAACCUUUUGAAAUUUUUGAUGAUUUGGUGGCAUGAACUGUGUUUUGGUUCAAAACAUGAUUCCUGAUUUUGUAAGUAUCACAAACCACUCUUAGGUCAUUAGAUUAUAACAUCAACCAACAUACCAUUAGUCUAGCAAAUCUAACGUGGAUUAACACAUUUGCAUUUUUAAAUCUAAUAGGUAUUGAAAAUUAGGCCUUGAUAUGUCCAUGUUUGUCUUUUGGUUGCUCAUCCGACCCCCGUGUUUGCUCACCCACUCCCAAAUACACUACCGGAAACUAGGAUCUAGUAGUGUAUUUUACUCAAUUUUACGCCACUAGAAGCUAGGAUCCGGUAAAAAGCCGAAAAAACGAGCAAACAUAGGGCUGGACGAACAAUCACCUUUUUGUAUUUCAAAAACACAAGGAUCCUUCGCGACCCAAUUUCGGAAACAUGCAAAACUUGGCUACCCGACUCGAAGAUAGGAUGCAGAUCUCACUCAUCGAUCUUUAAUCUCCUCAUUCUCUUGUUUCUUUGCUCGUUGCUCUCACGCUUCGAUCUUAUUCUCGCUGCUCUCAUGCUUUGAUCUUGCUCUCACAUUUUGCUCUCGCUAGUGCUGUUCCUUUCAUCUUCUCCAUCUUGUUUCUUCAACUCAGUAUGCAGGUACAAUUGUUGUUAGUCAGUUGUUGUUGAGUUCCUUUGCUACAAAGUUACUUGCAAGAUAAGGGGUUAAAACUAUUAUGGAUGGAAUAGUUUUGCAUUUUCAUUGGUAGAUUCAAGUCGAGGCAGAUGUUGUGGAAACUGAGGUUCAGUGAGUGAGCCUGUCAAAGCUUAAGUAGCCUUUAUUUUGGUUCACUUUUCUCUGUCUCAUAUAGUUCAAUUUAUUAUCAAUAUUUUCAUUUGGGUGACUAACUUUAACUAUAUGAUCAUUGUAGGCAAUAUUCUAAUAUCUACACAGUACUGUUUAAGAUUGGAACCUAUUCUGAUCAGAAUUCAGAGAUCUCAUGUUGGUGGUGGAUUGGAAGGAAGAAAACUCGGUGGAUAGUGAUGAGUGGUUGGAAUCCCUACAAAGAAGGUGCCCGUUGGUGGGAAGCACUUGUAACAAUUUUGACGCUCAAGUCAAGUAUAUGAUUGAGGUGGAUGGGAUACAUAAAAAAUAACAUACUUUAUUAUGUCUUGAUGUGAGGUUUAUAUAACAUGAGAGAGACGGUGUUGGGCUUGAGCCAGCUCAAAAGUCCAACGUGGAACAGAACCAUUGAAAUUGAAAUGAAUUUUACGGUUGCUUGAAUUAUGAAUUAGGUUAUUGAAUUUGAUAAUUGGGUUCCAAUACUAAACCAUAUUAUUGGUAAAACUCCAAAUUUUCUAAACUAUAAUUUGUGCAA
Cicer arietinum (chickpea) is the source of this 2882-nucleotide RNA transcript. It is a transcript of the gene named putative pentatricopeptide repeat-containing protein At1g53330, with no coding region annotated. The record is from RefSeq and is a predicted model, not a curated record. Lineage: Eukaryota; Viridiplantae; Streptophyta; Magnoliopsida; Fabales; Fabaceae.